Molecule: long non-coding RNA, 907 nt
Filed under: Papio anubis (olive baboon)
Lineage: Eukaryota; Metazoa; Chordata; Mammalia; Primates; Cercopithecidae
Description: lncRNA (ENSPANG00000040684.1)
Source: RNAcentral
AUAUUUUUGGAUGUGUGCAGAAGCGGUAAGGAGACAGAGAAAGGGGAUUUAAACCCGUGGAGACAGCGGCAGGAAAGAUUGGCAGAAACUCUCCCGCACAACCUGUUUCCUUGCAAAAGGAGGUGCUGGCUGCAGCACCCUUGUGUGGCUUGUGGGUGUGGUCAGGCCAGGUUGGGAUGUGGGGAUGGUGCCAGGGAGCUGACCCUGUUCCAGGAGCAGAGUCCAUGCCCCUUCCUCCCGAGCCCUCGAAAGCUGGGACUGCAGCACUGCUCACAGGAAACCCUCCUCCUCCACUCUGUGGCAGUUAUACACAACACAGACCAUUUCCAGGUGUUUUGUGGUUACCCAAAGCUGCUUCCCCUGUUCCACCUGAGGAAUAUCCAAUCUUCUGAUUGCUUGUUUUCUGUGCUUAUGGUACUUACGGUGUUACAUAUCUUGGAGUUUAUGAGGAAAUCAAGCAGCGCUUGCUCAGCACCUGAUAGUGCAGAUGCUAAGCUGCAGUCAUCAUUUCUGCCAUCCACUUUGUGCUCACCGUGAAACUUGGAGGAAAAUGUGUUUCCUUGGCAGAAGGACCCCAUAAACAGUGGAGCAGAGGAGACCCCUGUGUUCCUGACUGGCAUGGGAAUCCAGCUACAUGGCGCUGAUGCCCACUCCUGUCAAGAUGCAACCCCUCUGCCCUUUGCAACCUUGCCCAGAGCCAAGUGUGGGAUCUGUCAACAUAUGGCUCAGUUGGACUCAAGUUUCCUUUUUUAACACUGGAAGCAAUUUUAAUGAAUAAUACUGGGGACAAGAUGGAAAGGAAGGGAUGUUUGAAUUAACUAGGGAAUAAAAUAUAAAGUGUAUCUUGCCCUCCUGAUAGCAAUGUACAGUUCUUCUCAUUGAAAUUGAAACAAGAAAAUGCCAAAAU